CCUACGGGCGGCUGCAGUGGGGAAUAUUGCACAAUGGGCGAAACCCUGAUGCAGCAACGUCGCGUGAGUGAAGAAGUAUUUAGGUAUGUAAAGCUCUAUCAGUAGGGAAGAAGAAAGACGGUACCUGACUACGAAGCCCCGGCUAACUACGUGCCAGCAGCCACGGUAAUAAGUAGGGGGCACGCGUUAUCCGGAUUUACUGGGGGUAAAGGGAGCGUAGACGGCUGUGCAAGUCUGAGGGGAAAGCCCGUGGCUCAACCGCGGAACUGCCUUGGAAACUGUAGAGCUUGAGUAGGGGAGAGGCAGGCGGAAUGCCUAGUGUAGCGGUGAAAUGCGUAGAUAUCAGGAGGAACACCAGUGGCGAAGGCAGCCUGCUGGACAGAAACUGACGUUGAGGCUCGAAAGCGUGGGGAGCGAACAGGAUUAGAUACCCCUGUAGUC
This 441-nucleotide ribosomal RNA is filed under the name uncultured bacterium. RNAcentral describes it as "partial 16S ribosomal RNA". It matches the Rfam family "Bacterial small subunit ribosomal RNA", at positions 338 to 795 of the family's 1533-position model. The record is from RNAcentral.